RNAcentral lists this ribosomal RNA (310 nucleotides) under uncultured Deinococcales bacterium. RNAcentral's name for it is "bacterial SSU rRNA". It matches the Rfam family "Bacterial small subunit ribosomal RNA", at positions 992 to 1302 of the family's 1533-position model. Lineage: Bacteria; Thermotogati; Deinococcota; Deinococci; Deinococcales. The record is from RNAcentral.
UUUCUAAGCACGUGAAAGCGUGUGACCCUUCGGGGAACUUCCACAGGUGCUGCAUGGCCGUCGUCAGCUCGUGUCGUGAGAUGUUGGGUUAAGUCCCGCAACGAGCGCAACCCUUGUGACUAGUUGCCAGCACGUAAUGGUGGGGACUCUAGUCAGACUGCCCAGAUCAACUGAGAGGAAGGUGGGGACGACGUCAGGUCAGUAUGGCCCUUACGCCUUGGGCUGCACACGUACUACAAUGCCCAGCACAAUGAGAACCGAUACCGCGAGGUGGAGGAAAUCUAUAAAACUGGGCCCAGUUCGGAUUGGA